CUAGUGGGUGGCGGACUCGUCUCUAUCCCCGCCAAGUUCCAUCUCGCCGCCUCAGCCUGUCGGGACGAUGGUGGUCCGCCUGCUGCUGCUGCUGCGCGACUGGCCCCGGGGCCCUGCAAUUGGCCCGGGAUCCCUAUGUCGGUCCCUUAGCUCAGGCUCGGGGUCCCGCGAGUACCUGCAGCGCAGCAUCGUGCCCACUAUGCACUUCCAGGACAGCCUGCCCAGGCUGCCUAUUCCCAAGCUUGAAGACACCAUUAAGAGAUACCUCUGUGCGCAGAAGCCUCUCUUAGAUGAUGACCAGUUCAGGAAAACGGAACAGCAUUGCAAGAGUUUUGAGAACGGGAUUGGGAAGGAGCUGCACAAGCAGCUGGUCGCUCAGGACAAGCGGAAUAGACACACGAGCUACAUUUCUGACCCCUGGUUUGAUAUGUACCUAACUGCUCGAGACUCUAUCGUCUUGAACUUCAAUCCAUUCAUGGCAUUCAACCCUGACCCAAAGUCUGAGUAUAAUGACCAGCUCACCAGGGCCACCAACAUGACUGUUUCUGCCGUCCGGUUUCUGAAGACUCUGCGGGCUGGUCUUUUGGAGCCAGAGGUUUUCCAUUUGAACCCUGCCAAAAGUGACACUGAUACCUUCAAGAGACUCAUACGCUUUGUGCCUUCCUCCCUGUCCUGGUAUGGGGCCUACCUGGUUAAUGCUUAUCCCCUGGAUAUGUCCCAGUAUUUUCGGCUUUUCAGUUCAACUCGUUUACCCAGACGCACUCGGGAUGAACUUGUCACUGAUGAGAAGGCCAGGCACCUCCUGGUCCUAAGAAAAGGACAUUUCUAUGUUUUCGAUGUCCUGGAUCGCGACGGAAACAUUGUGAGCGCCUCGGAGAUCCAGGCUCACCUGAAGUACAUUCUCUCAGACAACAGCCCGGCCCCUGAGUUUCCGCUGGCGUAUCUGACCACUGAGCACCGAGACGUGUGGGCAGAGCUCAGGCAGAAGCUGGUGAAUGGUGGCAAUGAGGAGACGCUGAGGAAGGUGGACUCCGCUGUGUUCUGUCUCUGCCUAGAUGACUUCCCCAUCGAGGGCCUUGUCCACUUGUCUCACAGCAUGCUACACGGUGACGGCACCAACCGUUGGUACGAUAAGUCCUUUAACCUCAUUAUAGGCAAGGAUGGCACUGCCGCCUUGCACUUCGAGCAUGCUUGGGGCGACGGGGUGGCAGUGCUGAGGUUUUUGAAUGAAGUAUUUAAAGACAGCACUCAGGCUCCUGCCAUCAGCCCACAGAAUCAGCCGGCCCGCACUGACUCCUCUGCGGCCGUGCAGAAACUUACCUUCAAGCUGAGCGAUGCCCUCAAGACUGGCAUCAGCACUGCGAAGGAGAGGUUUGAUGCCAUUGUGAAGACCCUCACCAUCGACUUCAUCCAGUUUCACAGAGGGGGCAAGGAGUUCUUGAAGAAGCAGAGGCUGAGUCCUGACUCGGUAGCCCAGCUGGCCUUCCAGAUGGCCUUCCUGCGGCAGUAUGGGCAGACCGUGGCCACCUACGAGUCCUGCAGCACCGCAGCCUUCAAGCACGGCCGCACCGAGACCAUUAGGCCAGCCUCCAUCUUCACGAAGAGAUGUUCUGAGGCCUUUGUCAGGGAGCCCUCCCAACACAGCAUUGGCGAGCUUCAGCAGAUGAUGGCUGAGUGCUCCAAGUAUCACGGCCAGCUGACCAGAGAAGCCGCGAUGGGCCAGGGCUUUGACCGGCACUUAUUUGCUCUGCGGUACCUGGCAGCAGCCAAGGGGAUUGCUCUGCCUGAGCUCUACCUGGACCCCGCCUAUGGGCAGAUAAACCACAACAUCCUGUCCACGAGCACCCUGAGCAGCCCAGCGGUGAACAUCGGUGGCUUUGCCCCUGUGGUCCCUGAUGGCUUUGGCAUUGGGAUGAAGAAAACCUGAUCAAGAAACCUGAACCGGGUGUUGGCUGCGCAUGCGUGCGUUCGUCACCCGGAAGCACUAACCGGGGCCCCGCCCCGCCGCCUGUACAGCUGCCAGGGUGCUGCGCUUCCUGCACUCCUAGUCUUAGCUCCUACUAGUGCCUACAUUGUGCUCUCAGCUGCAGAACGACGCUGGGGGGCUUGUCCACCUGUGCAGGCUCAGGAAAUGGUUGACAAGGCGACAGGCAAGUUCAAAGGGCACUGGGUGGGACCUCAAGCACAAGGAAGAGUAGUGGUGAUCAGGGGUAUCCUCAGCUCACCCUGACCUUGACUGGACUACUUCACACAUUUCAUUUGCUCUACAUUUUCUACAGAUCUACUUUGUGAGGUGAGGGUAGUUCCUUUCUAUUCCCAGUCUGCUCAGAGUUUCUAUAGUUCUGU
Molecule: RNA transcript, 2346 nt
Organism: Enhydra lutris kenyoni (northern sea otter)
Lineage: Eukaryota; Metazoa; Chordata; Mammalia; Carnivora; Mustelidae
Gene name: carnitine palmitoyltransferase 2
Exons: 7
Source: RefSeq, a predicted model, not a curated record